Molecule: RNase P RNA, 404 nt
Filed under: marine eukaryotic metagenome
Description: Bacterial RNase P class A
Rfam family: Bacterial RNase P class A
About the family: Ribonuclease P (RNase P) is a ubiquitous endoribonuclease, found in archaea, bacteria and eukarya as well as chloroplasts and mitochondria.
Source: RNAcentral
GGGGGCCGGGCAGCCGCGUCACGCAAGUGCCGAGGAAAGUCCGGGCUCCACGAAGCAAGGGUGGCGGGUAACGCCCGCCGGGUGAAGACCCAGGGAAAGUGCCACAGAGAGUAUACCGCCGAUGGCGCCUAAAGCGCACAGGCAAGGGUGAAAGGGUGCGGUAAAAGCGCACCGGGGCGGCGGCAACGUCGUCCGCAUGGCAAACCCCACCCGGAGCAAGGCCGAAUAGGGGCGGCGCGCUCGCGAAAGCGGGCAGGGGUGUUUCGCCCCUAGCGCAAGCUGCGACCGCCCGGGUUGGCUGCUCGAGCCAUGGAGCGAUCCAUGGCCCAGAUGAAUGGCUGCCACCGCGGCGCUGGUCGUUACGAUACCGGUCGCGGGACAGAACCCGGCUUACAGGCCCCCUG